UGCCAAUGAUGUGGAUAAUCCCAAAAAAGUUCUUUGAACCGCUCCCAAGCAUGAUAUAAAUUCUCAUCUAGCUUCUAUUUGAAUCACAUAAUAUCACUACAUAGUCU
This is a small nucleolar RNA of Capsicum annuum, 107 nucleotides long. NCBI's taxonomy places the organism in Eukaryota, Viridiplantae, Streptophyta, Magnoliopsida, Solanales, Solanaceae. The record is from RefSeq and is a predicted model, not a curated record.